GAUGAACGCUGGCGGCGUGCCUAAUACAUGCCAGUCGAGCGAACGGACGAGAAGCUUGCUUCUCUGAUGUUAGCGGCGGACGGGUGAGUAACACGUGGAUAACCUACCUAUAAGACUGGGAUAACUUCGGGAAACCGUAGCUAAUACCGGAUAAUAUUUUGAACCGCAUGGUUCAAAAGUGAAAGACGGUCUUGCUGUCACUUAUAGAUGGAUCCGCGCUGCAUUAGCUAGUUGGUAAGGUAACGGCUUACCAAGGCAACGAUGCAUAGCUGACCUGAGAGGGUGAUCGGCCACACUGGAACUGAGACACGGUCCAGACUCCUACGGGAGGCAGCAGUAGGGAAUCUUCCGCAAUGGGCGAAAGCCUGACGGAGCAACGCCGCGUGAGUGAUGAAGGUCUUCGGAUCGUAAAACUCUGUUAUUAGGGAAGAACAUAUGUGUAAGUAACUGUGCACAUCUUGACGGUACCUAAUCAGAAAGCCACGGCUAACUACGUG
RNAcentral lists this ribosomal RNA (497 nucleotides) under uncultured bacterium. RNAcentral's name for it is "partial 16S ribosomal RNA". It matches the Rfam family "Bacterial small subunit ribosomal RNA", at positions 28 to 507 of the family's 1533-position model. The record is from RNAcentral.